CAGCCCCUCGAGUGGUGGGGAUGAUUAUUUGGCCUAAAGCGUCCGUAGCCUGCCGGGUAAGUUUCCCGUUAAAUCCAGCGUCUCAAGCGUUGGACUGCGGGAAAUACUGCCUGGCUAGAGAGUGGGAGAGGUCAGCGGUAUUCUGGGGGUAGGGGCGAAAUCCUUUGAUCCCCGGAGGACCACCAGUGGCGAAGGCUGCUGACUAGAACACGUCUGACGGUCGGGGACGAAAGCUGGGGUAGCGAACCGGAUUAGAUACCCGAGUAGUCC
RNAcentral lists this ribosomal RNA (270 nucleotides) under uncultured archaeon. RNAcentral describes it as "partial 16S ribosomal RNA". It matches the Rfam family "Archaeal small subunit ribosomal RNA", at positions 477 to 747 of the family's 1478-position model. The record is from RNAcentral.